GACGAACGCUGGCGGCGUGCUUAACACAUGCAAGUCGAACGGAAAGGCCCUGCUUUUGUGGGGUGCUCGAGUGGCGAACGGGUGAGUAACACGUGAGUAACCUGCCCUUGACUUUGGGAUAACUUCAGGAAACUGGGGCUAAUACCGGAUAGGAGCUCCUGCUGCAUGGUGGGGGUUGGAAAGUUUCGGCGGUUGGGGAUGGACUCGCGGCUUAUCAGCUUGUUGGUGGGGUAGUGGCUUACCAAGGCUUUGACGGGUAGCCGGCCUGAGAGGGUGACCGGCCACAUUGGGACUGAGUUCCGGCCCAGAUUCCUACGGGAGGCAGCGGUGGGGAAUAUUGCACAAUGGGCGGAGGCCGAAUGCAGCAACGCCGCGUGCGGGAUGACGGCCUUCGGGUUGUAAACCGCUUUCGCCUGUGACGAAGCGUGAGUGACGGUAAUGGGUAAAGAAGCACCGGCUAACUACGU
RNAcentral lists this ribosomal RNA (467 nucleotides) under uncultured bacterium. RNAcentral describes it as "partial 16S ribosomal RNA". It matches the Rfam family "Bacterial small subunit ribosomal RNA", at positions 28 to 506 of the family's 1533-position model. The record is from RNAcentral.